Molecule: ribosomal RNA, 545 nt
Filed under: uncultured bacterium
Lineage: Bacteria
Description: bacterial SSU rRNA
Rfam family: Bacterial small subunit ribosomal RNA
Source: RNAcentral
UAGUCCACGCCGUAAACGAUGAUAACUAGCUGUCCGGACUCAUAGAGUCUGGGUGGCGCAGCUAACGCAUUAAGUUAUCCGCCUGGGGAGUACGGUCGCAAGAUUAAAACUCAAAGGAAUUGACGGGGACCUGCACAAGUAGUGGAGCAUGUGGUUUAAAUCGACAAUACGCGAGAAACCUUACCAGUUUUUGUAUAAUUUAUUACAGGAGUUGCAUGGCUGUCGUCAGUCCGUGCCGUGAGGCGUUUGGUUCAUUCCAACAAACGGACGAAACUCUUUUACAUUUAUCGUAAUGUAUACCGCUAAGGAUAUCUUAGAGGAAGGGAAGAAUGACGUCAAGUCCUUAUGACCCUAAUAAACUGGGCUACUUUCACGUGCUACAAUAAAAUUUUCAAUAAAAAAUAAGAAUGUAAGUUUGAAUUUUAAACAAAAUUUUUAUUACGGUAUUAUUCUCUGCAACUCGAGAAUAUGAAGGUGGAAUUACGAGUAAUCGUAAAUUAGAAUAUUACGUGAAUUAGUUCUCAGGUCUUGUACACACCGCCCGU